ACGCUCGACACCUACGGGAAGCAGCAGUAGGGAAUUUUCGGCAAUGGGGGGAACCCUGACCGAGCAACGCCGCGUGAAGGAAGAAGGAAUUCGUUCUGUAAACUUCUGUUAUAAAGGAAGAACGGCGGAUAUAGGGAAUGAUAUCCGAGUGACGGUACUUUAUGAGAAAGCCACGGCUAACUACGUGCCGGCAGCCGCGGUAAUCUGAGCGGGCUGGCAAGGC
RNAcentral lists this ribosomal RNA (223 nucleotides) under uncultured bacterium. RNAcentral describes it as "partial 16S ribosomal RNA". It matches the Rfam family "Bacterial small subunit ribosomal RNA", at positions 326 to 539 of the family's 1533-position model. The record is from RNAcentral.